Molecule: long non-coding RNA, 536 nt
Organism: Marmota monax (woodchuck)
Lineage: Eukaryota; Metazoa; Chordata; Mammalia; Rodentia; Sciuridae
Exons: 3
Source: RefSeq, a predicted model, not a curated record
CAGGAGAGGUUGCUGAAGGCUCGAUGUGGUGGCGUGGAGGCAGGCCAGCACAGACCAUGGUGGUGUGGUCAGGCAGCUCUGUUGGAAAGAGGACAAAACAGAAGCGGCAGUCUUCCAGAGGCACGGGAGCUGCAGGCUUGCAGAAAGGCUCUGCAGGGCAGAACGCAAGGCCGAAACUCGGAGCAGCCCACUCUCACCUCUCCCUGCCGCACUGGUCUCAGCCGGGCACCCCGAGCAUCGUGCCUUAACGCAGCACUCAGAAAUCUUCUACAGGCAGGGUGGCGAGGAACUUCCGACUGAGCAGAGUCACCCAGACCACACUGAGCAGCAGCAGAGUGGGGGAAGUGUCCUUGCGGGUCCCCGAUCUCAGACGGAGUCUCAUGUUGGGUUGAUGGGUUUUCAAUUCAUGAGUCUCACUAUGUUGAGGAAUUUCUCACAGACACCAGCUUGUGGAGUGUUUUUAUCAUGGAAGUGUGCAGGGUUCUUCCAAAUGCUUUUGCCACAUUGAUUGAGAUGACUAUUUGUGUUGUUUCCUU